Molecule: long non-coding RNA, 331 nt
Filed under: Salvator merianae (Argentine black and white tegu)
Lineage: Eukaryota; Metazoa; Chordata; Lepidosauria; Squamata; Teiidae
Description: lncRNA (ENSSMRG00000014730.1)
Source: RNAcentral
UGCAAAAGGCCCCAACAUCAGUGGUGGGGAAAGAGGAAAGCACCUCCUCCAAUCAAUAGUAAUUCUCAGCUGGGUCCUACUAAGUCCUGAAUUGUUGGGCUGGCGGCAACAUGAAGGGGAACAAACUUCCUAUUUUGUGAACCACUAAUGUAAAAUAAGAAUAAUGCAGUUUUCACAUGGCUUGGCUGCAGAAGGGAACAAGCAUCCAGACAAGGAGUUACUACACCUUCUCCUGCUCCUCUUGGCCAUAAUGAACCAUCUCAAUCUCCAGCUCCAGGAAUGAGUCAUACCACCUGGAAGGACUCUGUGUACUACUGUACUCAGGUAUUCA